GGUAGUGUAGUUAACACCUGCAUUAUUUGACGUUACCUACAGAAGAAGCACCGGCUAACUCCGUGCCAGCAGCCGCGGUAAUACGGAGGGUGCGAGCGUUAAUCGGAAUUACUGGGCGUAAAGCGCAUGCAGGCGGCCUGUUAAGUCAGAUGUGAAAGACCCGGGGCGUUAACCUACGGAAUUGCAUUUAGUAAACUGGCAGGCUAGAGUCUUGUAGAGGGGGGUAGGAAUUUCAGGUGUAGCGGUGAAAUGCGUAGAGAUCUGAAGGAAUACCAGUGGCGAAGGCGGCCCCCUGGACAAAGACUGACGCUCAGAUGCGAAAGCGUGGGGAGCAAACAGGAUUAGAUACCCUGGUAG
Molecule: ribosomal RNA, 357 nt
Filed under: uncultured bacterium
Lineage: Bacteria
Description: bacterial SSU rRNA
Rfam family: Bacterial small subunit ribosomal RNA
Source: RNAcentral